This 906-nucleotide ribosomal RNA is filed under the name uncultured crenarchaeote. RNAcentral's name for it is "partial 16S ribosomal RNA". It matches the Rfam family "Archaeal small subunit ribosomal RNA", at positions 14 to 896 of the family's 1478-position model. The record is from RNAcentral. Lineage: Archaea; Thermoproteati; Thermoproteota.
CUGCCGGACCCGACUGCUAUCGGAUUGGGACUAAGCCAUGCGAGUCGAACGUCCUCCGACUGUGGAGGGCGUGGCACACGGCUCAGUAACACGUAGUUAAUCUACCCUGAGGAUGCGAAUAACCCCGGGAAACUGGGACUAAUACGCGAUAUCUGAAGAUUCCUGGAAUGGGUCUUCGUUGAAAAGGGCGGACGAGCAUGUUCGUUCGUUUGCCUCAGGAUGGGACUGCGGCCGAUCAGGUUGUUGGUGGGGUAAUGGCCCACCAAGCCUAUAACCGGUACGGGCUUUGAGAGAAGGAGCCCGGAGAUGUACACUGAGAAAAGGGUCCAGGUCCUACGGGGCGCAGCAGGCGCGAAACCUUCGCAAUGCGCGAAAGCGCGACGAGGCUAAUCCGAGUGCCGUCCGCUGAGGACGGCUUUUCUUGAGUCUAGAUAGCUUGGGGAAUAAGGGGAGGGAAAGUCUGGUGUCAGCCGCCGCGGUAAUACCAGCUCUCCGAGUGGUGGGGAUGAUUAUUGGGCCUAAAGCAUCCGUAGCUGGCCAAGUUAGUCCCUUGUUAAACCCACCGAAUUAAUCGUUGGCGUGCGGGGGAUACUGCUCGGCUAGGGGACGAGAGAGGCAGACGGUAUUCUCGGGGUAGGGGUGAAAUCCUAUAAUCCCGAGAAGACCACCAGUGGCGAAGGCUGUCUGCUAGAACGCGCCCGACGGUGAGGGAUGAAAGCUGGGGGAGCGAACCGGAUUAGAUACCCGGGUAGUCCCAGCUGUAAACGAUGCAGGCUAGGUGUUUGGACGGCCACGUGCCGUUCUAGUGCCGCAGGGAAGCUGUUAAGCCUGCCGCCUGGGGAGUACGGUCGCAAGAUUGAAACUUAAAAGGAAUUGGCGGGGGGAGCACCACAAGGGGGUGAAGCU